This is a long non-coding RNA of Suricata suricatta (meerkat), 166 nucleotides long. RefSeq lists it as uncharacterized. Lineage: Eukaryota; Metazoa; Chordata; Mammalia; Carnivora; Herpestidae. The record is from RefSeq and is a predicted model, not a curated record. The transcript has 2 exons.
CUUUUCCUGGUGAUCUGAAGCGUAUGGCCUUUGUCACCUUCAACAACAUUCACCGAGAGCCUACUGUGGCCCAGGCCGCUUCACACAGGGAGAAAGAGGGAAAGGCUGGCAGUUUUCGAGAGAAGAAUGUAGAGGAAGAAUUAAAAUUUGGAAAGUUGCUUGAUAA